This 497-nucleotide ribosomal RNA is filed under the name uncultured bacterium. RNAcentral's name for it is "partial 16S ribosomal RNA". It matches the Rfam family "Bacterial small subunit ribosomal RNA", at positions 28 to 507 of the family's 1533-position model. The record is from RNAcentral.
GAUGAACGCUGGCGGCGUGCCUAAUACAUGCAAGUCGAGCGAACGGACGAGAAGCUUGCUUUUCUGACGUUAGCGGCGGACGGGUGAGUAACACGUGGAUAACCUACCUAUAAGACUGGGAUAACUUCGGGAAACCGGAGCUAAUACCGGAUAAUAUUUUGAACCGCAUGGUUCAAAAGUGAAAGACGGUUUUGCUGUCACUUAUAGAUGGAUCCGCGCUGCAUUAGCUAGUUGGUAAGGUAACGGCUUACCAAGGCAACGAUGCGUAGCCGACCUGAGAGGGUGAUCGGCCACACUGGAACUGAGACACGGUCCAGACUCCUACGGGAGGCAGCAGUAGGGAAUCUUCCGCAAUGGGCGAAAGCCUGACGGAGCAACGCCGCGUGAGUGAUGAAGGUCUUCGGAUCGUAAAACUCUGUUAUUAGGGAAGAACAGAUGUGUAAGUAACUGUGCACGUCUUGACGGUACCUAAUCAGAAAGCCACGGCUAACUACGUG